GCCCUUGUAGCCCAGUGGCAGAGGCAUACGACUUAAAAUCGUACAAGCGUUGGUUCAAAUCCAACCAAGGGCA
RNAcentral lists this transfer RNA (73 nucleotides) under bacterium. Its description in RNAcentral is "tRNA-Leu". It matches the Rfam family "tRNA". From Rfam's summary of the family: Transfer RNA (tRNA) molecules are approximately 80 nucleotides in length. Their secondary structure includes four short double-helical elements and three loops (D, anti-codon, and T loops). Further hydrogen bonds mediate the characteristic L-shaped molecular structure. tRNAs have two regions of fundamental functional importance: the anti-codon, which is responsible for specific mRNA codon recognition, and the 3' end, to which the tRNAs corresponding amino acid is attached (by aminoacyl-tRNA synthetases). tRNAs cope with the degeneracy of the genetic code in two manners: having more than one tRNA (with a specific anti-codon) for a particular amino acid; and 'wobble' base-pairing, i.e. permitting non-standard base-pairing at the 3rd anti-codon position. The record is from RNAcentral.